CCUACGGGCGGCAGCAGUGGGGAAUUUUGGGCAAUGCGCGCAAGCCUGACCCAGCAACGCCGCGUGAAGGAAGAAGGCUUUCGGGUUGUAAACUUCUUUUCUGAGGGACGAAAAAAGUGACGGUACCUCAGGAAUAAGCCACGGCUAACUACGUACCAGCAGCCGCGGUAAUACGUAGGUGGCCAGCGUUAUUCGGAUUUACUGGGGGUAAAGGGCGUGUAGGCGGGAAAGUAAGUCAGAUGUGAAAACUCAGGGCUCAACCCUGAGCAUGCCUUUGAAACUGUUUUACUUGAGUGCUAGAGAGGAAAGCAGAAUUCCGGGUGUAGCGGUGAAAUGCGUAGAUAUACGGAGGAACACCAGUGGCGAAGGCGGAUUGCUGGACAGUAACUGACGCUGAGGCGCGAAAGCGUGGGGAGCAAACAGGAUUAGAUACCCGGGUAGUC
Molecule: ribosomal RNA, 443 nt
Filed under: uncultured bacterium
Lineage: Bacteria
Description: partial 16S ribosomal RNA
Rfam family: Bacterial small subunit ribosomal RNA
Source: RNAcentral